RNAcentral lists this small RNA (413 nucleotides) under Arabidopsis thaliana (thale cress). RNAcentral's name for it is "ATSL193330". Lineage: Eukaryota; Viridiplantae; Streptophyta; Magnoliopsida; Brassicales; Brassicaceae. The record is from RNAcentral.
AUAUAUAUAUAUAUAAAACAUUUGUUCUAUGGUGUAUUACGAGUUAAAUCCUAGUAAAUAAGUUAAUAAUGAAUGUUAUAAUUAAUUAGUAUUAUAUAAACAAGAGAGAGAAUAAUGGUGGCGACGCUUUAUUUAGCAUAAAUAGAAGGAUUAAUGAGAUACCUUGAAGUAAUUACCUUAAAUGUAGAAGUAGUUAGAGAGGAUUGAAGAUAGUUUAGGAAAAUUUUUUUUUUGGCUUUGCUAUACUAAGAGAGAGGUAUGUAUAUAUAAGAAAAACUUCUACAUUAAAAACAAAUAAAAGAAAAAAGAAAAUAUGCAUUUAUAACUUAUCGGCGUUUUUGUACUGGGCUUCGAAACACAGUCCACUACAUUUAUCUAUCUAAAAAGUUACGUUUUUUUUUUGUGUUUUUUUU